CAUCUCUCGCUGCAAACCCAGGCUUUCCACCUCCCCACCGCAUCCUACCCAAGACAAGCUCAGAAUCCCACGCUUUGCCCUUCCCCCAACCCAACAUCCUUAGAUGGAAAGGGGAGUUUCAGAGAUGCUACUGGCAGCUGUUGUGUGGCUGACCAAGGAGAGCUAAGACUCAGAAGCUUACACAAGGGCAGAGGGGGUUCCCAGCCCAGAGAGGUCCAAUCUGGUGUGGGCAGGAAGGUGACAGAGGAAGUGUGGGAAAGCAGUUAGUGAUGCCUAAGGAAGAUGCUGAACAUUUUGAAAGUGUCAAGAGCAGCUGGGAAGGAGACACGAGGGUCGUAAUCAAGAUGGCAGCCCGGGAGAAGACUGCAGAGGCGUUCGAAUAAAGUGUUUUCCAAAACUUCGGACUCGUUCUCCUGGUGGCAUCUGGGAUGAUUUUAGGGUUCUUGUGGGGAAAUAGAAAGAGGAGCACAGAACUUCCUUAUGAAGUUGACAAAUGUAGCCAGCUCUCAUUAACGUAACUUUGUUUACAGUAGCUUAUUGUUACUCUUUCCUUCUAUUUUCAGCAAAGGAAACUGCCUUUCCAUUUACAACAAUAACAUAAAGUGCUCAUUUGAAACGUGCUUCUUAAAAAAAACGGGAAGUGUAGAGUAAAAAUGUCAAGGAGAUAAUGUAUUUUAAAUGUGAAAGUGUGAUUGUGCUACUCCAAUAAAUGAGCCUUUGAAAAUAAC
Molecule: non-coding RNA, 728 nt
Organism: Cricetulus griseus (Chinese hamster)
Lineage: Eukaryota; Metazoa; Chordata; Mammalia; Rodentia; Cricetidae
Source: RefSeq, a predicted model, not a curated record